AGAGUUUGAUCAUGGCUCAGAUUGAACGCUGGCGGCAGGCCUAACACAUGCAAGUCGAGCGGUAGAGAGAAGCUUGCUUCUCUUGAGAGCGGCGGACGGGUGAGUAAUGCCUAGGAAUCUGCCUGGUAGUGGGGGAUAACGCUCGGAAACGGACGCUAAUACCGCAUACGUCCUACGGGAGAAAGCAGGGGACCUUCGGGCCUUGCGCUAUCAGAUGAGCCUAGGUCGGAUUAGCUAGUUGGUGAGGUAAUGGCUCACCAAGGCGACGAUCCGUAACUGGUCUGAGAGGAUGAUCAGUCACACUGGAACUGAGACACGGUCCAGACUCCUACGGGAGGCAGCAGCGGGGAAUAUUGGACAAUGGGCGAAAGCCUGAUCCAGCCAUGCCGCGUGUGUGAAGAAGGUCUUCGGAUUGUAAAGCACUUUAAGUUGGGAGGAAGGGCAUUAACCUAAUACGUUAGUGUUUUGACGUUACCGACAGAAUAAGCACCGGCUAACUCUGUGCCAGCAGCCGCGGUAAUACAGAGGGUGCAAGCGUUAAUCGGAAUUACUGGGCGUAAAGCGCGCGUAGGUGGUUCGUUAAGUUGGAUGUGAAAUCCCCGGGCUCAACCUGGGAACUGCAUUCAAAACUGACGAGCUAGAGUAUGGUAGAGGGUGGUGGAAUUUCCUGUGUAGCGGUGAAAUGCGUAGAUAUAGGAAGGAACACCAGUGGCGAAGGCGACCACCUGGACUGAUACUGACACUGAGGUGCGAAAGCGUGGGGAGCAAACAGGAUUAGAUACCCUGGUAGUCCACGCCGUAAACGAUGUCAACUAGCCGUUGGGAGCCUUGAGCUCUUAGUGGCGCAGCUAACGCAUUAAGUUGACCGCCUGGGGAGUACGGCCGCAAGGUUAAAACUCAAAUGAAUUGACGGGGGCCCGCACAAGCGGUGGAGCAUGUGGUUUAAUUCGAAGCAACGCGAAGAACCUUACCAGGCCUUGACAUCCAAUGAACUUUCCAGAGAUGGAUUGGUGCCUUCGGGAACAUUGAGACAGGUGCUGCAUGGCUGUCGUCAGCUCGUGUCGUGAGAUGUUGGGUUAAGUCCCGUAACGAGCGCAACCCUUGUCCUUAGUUACCAGCACGUAAUGGUGGGCACUCUAAGGAGACUGCCGGUGACAAACCGGAGGAAGGUGGGGAUGACGUCAAGUCAUCAUGCCCCUUACGGCCUGGGCUACACACGUGCUACAAUGGUCGGUACAGAGGGUUGCCAAGCCGCGAGGUGGAGCUAAUCCCACAAAACCGAUCGUAGUCCGGAUCGCAGUCUGCAACUCGACUGCGUGAAGUCGGAAUCGCUAGUAAUCGCGAAUCAGAAUGUCGCGGUGAAUACGUUCCCGGGCCUUGUACACACCGCCCGUCACACCAUGGGAGUGGGUUGCACCAGAAGUAGCUAGUCUAACCUUCGGGAGGACGGUUACCACGGUGUGAUUCAUGACUGGGGUGAAGUCGGAACAAGGUA
This 1495-nucleotide ribosomal RNA is filed under the name metagenome. RNAcentral describes it as "bacterial SSU rRNA". It matches the Rfam family "Bacterial small subunit ribosomal RNA". The record is from RNAcentral.